CUUUUAGACCUGUGCAUCGACACUGGUGGACAACGGGUCAGGAUGGGAACAUAGCAGCCCACCUACCUCUGUUGAGUGCCGCAGGGAUCUGGAAGGGG
Molecule: signal recognition particle RNA, 98 nt
Filed under: Sulfurovum sp. bin170
Lineage: Bacteria; Pseudomonadati; Campylobacterota; Epsilonproteobacteria; Campylobacterales; Sulfurovaceae
Description: Bacterial small signal recognition particle RNA
Rfam family: Bacterial small signal recognition particle RNA
About the family: The signal recognition particle (SRP) is a universally conserved ribonucleoprotein involved in the co-translational targeting of proteins to membranes.
Source: Rfam by way of RNAcentral